UACAGAGGGGGCAAGCGUUGUUCGGAAUUACUGGGCGUAAAGGGCGCGUAGGCGGCCUUCUAAGUCGAACGUGAAAUCCCUGGGCUCAACCCAGGAACUGCGUCCGAUACUGGAAGGCUUGAAUCCGGGAGAGGGAUGUGGAAUUCCAGGUGUAGCGGUGAAAUGCGUAGAUAUCUGGAGGAACACCGGUGGCGAAGGCGACAUCCUGGACCGGUAUUGACGCUGAGGCGCGAAAGCCAGGGGAGCAAACGGG
Molecule: ribosomal RNA, 253 nt
Filed under: uncultured bacterium
Lineage: Bacteria
Description: partial 16S ribosomal RNA
Rfam family: Bacterial small subunit ribosomal RNA
Source: RNAcentral